Molecule: long non-coding RNA, 1383 nt
Organism: Quercus robur (English oak)
Lineage: Eukaryota; Viridiplantae; Streptophyta; Magnoliopsida; Fagales; Fagaceae
Exons: 6
Source: RefSeq, a predicted model, not a curated record
UUCUGUAUUUUCAGUGCCCCACGAAUCCUCUUUAAAAAGUUGACGAGGACUGGCAUGCAGAAGUCAGUCCAACUCCAUCUUAAAUGCUUUGCAAGUUUAAGAAAAAAAACAAGCAGAAAACAGUCUCUAAAAACAGCUCUGAUGCACAUUUUAGCGUGUCACUAUGCACGGAAUUUUGAUGGUUUAUAUUCUUCUUUUUUUUCUUUUAUUGAAGAGAGUGGUGAUCGUCUCACCAGGGCCUCCUAGGUGUUGGAGCAGCUCAGUAGCCAAAAUCCAGUUUUUUCUCAAAAGGCUUUUCAGCAGGAUUUAGUACUCUUUUUUCGUCUCCAUCUUCAUCUCCAUCUCCAAUGUCAAUCCUUCCCGGCUACCCUAUACCCCCUCCUCCUCCCUACCUGCCCGGUACCACUGGUGCCGUAGAAUUUAACCCGAUCAAUCCUCCUCACCACAAAAAAACACUCCCACAGGAAGGUCAAUAUGACCAACCCCAACCCCAGUAGUAUGCAGACGAACCAAAAAUUUAUCAUUUCCAUCGUUGUCUCGGCGAUAGGGGUGAUAUUGAUCGGCCUUAUCUGCUUUGCCAUUGGCUACUGGUUGAGGAAGAAGCUCAUGGCUCCACCACCACCACCAAAGCGGUCCUCCACUGUUCAUCAGGUCCCUCAUCACUCGCAGCUGGAUCAUCCAUGCUGCUCACACGUACCGGGAGGCUGCUCACAUGCACCGAGAGGCUAGCGAAGUGGCUGACAGACUAUAGAUAAAAGGGAAAGCUUGCAAAUGGACAGAAUUUUUAUUUAUGAGUCAUCCUGAGUUUUAUGUAUGAUAAGUAUCUCAGGAAUAUUUGAUAAAUGGAUACUUAUAGAAAGUGCUUUGUAACAAACUAUACUCUCCUAAACUGGCUGUUUGAUUAAAUAAAACUUCCUCUUUGUUAAAAAAAAAAAAACUAUUGAUGGUUCUUUCAAACUAUACUCCACUCCACCAAGUGAUUGUUCAGGCUCUUGACACUGAAGGCAUGGACAGGGAAAUUGACUUAUCUAAUCUUGGUACCGUCAAUACAAUGUUUGCGGCCUUAUUCAGGUGGUAUCUUACUUGGUAGAUUAGGAGCUAUCAGGGUCCUUGAGCUUUUAUAACCCCUCGUUUUGUUUGUUUAUAGCAAGCUGGGUGUCCCAAUUAAGACUACAAUUUCCGCUAAUGUUCUUGAAGAAGCUCUGAAUGGUAUUGUUACAAUAAGACCUCUUCCAAUUGGCACAUCAGUUAGUGGAAAGUUGUCAACUUAACACUGAUAGAUUUCCCUGCUUUGACAAAGGUUGCCAUAGAGGGACAGCCAGAGAGUAUUGUUCAAGACAUUGAAAACAUGGUUCGUUCAUAUGUUGAAAAGGUAAAAGAAAG